GCGGGAAUAGCUCAGUUGGUAGAGCGCAACCUUGCCAAGGUUGCGCUCUACCUACUGAGCUAUUCCCGCA
This 70-nucleotide transfer RNA is filed under the name Craterilacuibacter sinensis. It matches the Rfam family "tRNA". Rfam says of the family: Transfer RNA (tRNA) molecules are approximately 80 nucleotides in length. Lineage: Bacteria; Pseudomonadati; Pseudomonadota; Betaproteobacteria; Neisseriales; Neisseriaceae. The record is from Rfam by way of RNAcentral.